CCUACGGGAGGCAGCAGUGAGGAAUAUUGGUCAAUGGACGAGAGUCUGAACCAGCCAAGUAGCGUGAAGGAUGACUGCCCUAUGGGUUGUAAACUUCUUUUAUAAAGGAAUAAAACGAGGCACGUGUGCCUUUCUGCAUGUACUUUACGAAUAAGGAUCGGCUAACUCCGUGCCAGCAGCCGCGGUAAUACGGAGGAUCCGAGCGUUAUCCGGAUUUAUUGGGUUUAAAGGGUGCGUAGAUGGGUUGUUAAGUCAGUUGUGAAAGUUUGCGGCUUAACCGUAAAAUUGCAAUUGAUACUGGCAGUCUUGAGUACAGAUGAGGUAGGCGGAAUUCGUGGUGUAGCGGUGAAAUGCUUAGAUAUCACGCAGAACCCCGAUUGCGAAGGCAGCUUACUAAACUGUGACUGACAUUGAUGCUCGAAAGUGUGGGUAUCAAACAGGAUUAGAUACCCGAGUAGUC
This 460-nucleotide ribosomal RNA is filed under the name uncultured bacterium. RNAcentral's name for it is "partial 16S ribosomal RNA". It matches the Rfam family "Bacterial small subunit ribosomal RNA", at positions 338 to 795 of the family's 1533-position model. The record is from RNAcentral.